This 245-nucleotide ribosomal RNA is filed under the name uncultured bacterium. Its description in RNAcentral is "partial 16S ribosomal RNA". It matches the Rfam family "Bacterial small subunit ribosomal RNA", at positions 524 to 768 of the family's 1533-position model. The record is from RNAcentral.
GACGAAGGUGGCUAGCGUUGUUCGGAAUCACUGGGCUUAAAGAGCACGUAGGCGGCCUGUUAAGCACCUUGUGAAAUCCCCCGGCUUAACUGGGGAAUUGCUUGGUGUACUGGCAGGCUUGAGGCAAGUAAGGGUGCGUGGAACUCUUGGUGGAGCGGUGAAAUGCGUAGAUAUCAAGAGGAACGCCGGAGGCGAAAGCGACGCACUGGGCUUGUCCUGACGCUGAGGUGCGAAAGCCAGGGGAG